Molecule: ribosomal RNA, 1684 nt
Filed under: metagenome
Description: bacterial LSU rRNA
Rfam family: Bacterial large subunit ribosomal RNA
Source: RNAcentral
GGCAUUUAAGAAAGUAUCGGUAGGGGAGCAUACUCACAGCGUUGAAUGGUGUACGUAAGUUGUCCUGGAGCGGUGAGUAAAGCAAAUGUAGGAAUAAGUAACGAUAAGGAGGGUUAGAUUCCCUCCCGCUGUAAGACCAAGGUUUCCCGGGCAAUGCCAAUCAGCCCGGGGUCAGUCGGGUCCUAAGUCUAAGCCGAACGGCGAUGGCGAUGGCAGAGACGGUUAAUAUUCCGUCACUGCCGCAUGGGGCGACGUGGAGACGGAGCAGUGAAACCACCGCGGGGCGACGGAAGUCCCCGUUGAAGAGUGUAGGCGUUGAGGAUGGCAGGCAAAUCCACCGUCCGAGCUGAACUUGAGAGUAUAGAGUCUUCUUCGGAAGAAUCCAAUAGUGUGGGUAAUCAUACUCCCGAGAAAAUCCGCUAAGCUUAACCCAUGCGGCACCCGUACCGCAAACGGACACACGUGGUCGGGUAGAACAUACUGAGGCGUUGAGAGAUUCAUGGUUAAGGAACUAGGCAAAUUGACCCUGUAACUUCGGGAUAAAGGGUCCUCGUGAAUAGCGAGGCGCAGAGAAUAGGUCCAGGCAACUGUUUAACAAAAACACAGGGCUGUGCAAACUCGAAAGAUGACGUAUACAGCCUGACACCUGCCCGGUGCCGGAAGGUUAAGAGGAGAUGUCACUCGCAAGAGGAAGCAUUGAAUUGAAGCCCCGGUAAACGGCGGCCGUAACGAUAACGGUCCUAAGGUAGCGAAAUUCCUUGUCGGGUAAGUUCCGACCUGCACGAAUGGUGUAAUGAUCCGGACGCUGUCUCAACCAUGAGCUCAGUGAAAUUGUAGUAUCGGUGAAGAUGCCGAUUACCCGCGAUGGGACGAAAAGACCCCGUGAACCUUUACUACAGCUUAGCAUUGACCUUGGUCAUCCGAUGUGUAGGAUAGGCCGGAGGCUUCGAAGCGGGAGCGCCAGCUUUCGUGGAGCCAUCCUUGAAAUACGGCCCUUUGGCUGUCUGAGGUCUAACGCGCGAUGCGCGGACACUGCUUGGUGGGUAGUUUGACUGGGGUGGUCGCCUCCAAAAGCGUAACGGAGGCUUCCAAAGGUGCCCUCGGGUCGAUUGGUAACCGACCUCAAAGAGUGCAAUGGCAUAAGGGCGCUUGACUGGGAGGCAGACAUGCCGAGCAGGCAGGAAACUGGGGCAUAGUGAUCCGGCGGAUGUGUAUGGAAACUCCGUCGCUCAAAGGAUAAAAGGUACUCCGGGGAUAACAGGCUGAUCCCCCCCAAGAGCUCAUAUCGACGGGGUGGUUUGGCACCUCGAUGUCGGCUCGUCACAUCCUGGGGCUGGAGAAGGUCCCAAGGGUUGGGCUGUUCGCCCAUUAAAGUGGCACGCGAGCUGGGUUCAGAACGUCGUGAGACAAUUCGGUCUCUAUCUAUCGUGGGCGUGGGAGUUUUGCGUGGUACCGUCACUAGUACGAGAGGACCGUGAUGGACAGACCUCCGGUUUACCAGUUGUGCCGCCAGGCGCACCGCUGGGUAUCUGAGUCUGGAUUGGAUAAGCGCUGAAAGCAUCUAAGUGCGAAGCCAGCCGCAAGAUGAGAACUCCAUUGAGGGUCGUCAGAGACGAUGACGUUGAUAGGAUGCAGGUGUAAAGACAGCGAUGUCAAAGCCGAGCAUUACUAAUUGCCCAAAAAA